Molecule: ribosomal RNA, 468 nt
Filed under: uncultured bacterium
Lineage: Bacteria
Description: bacterial SSU rRNA
Rfam family: Bacterial small subunit ribosomal RNA
Source: RNAcentral
GGACGACGCUGGCGGCGUGCCUAACACAUGCAAGUCGAGCGGGGAGGAGAAAGCUUGCUUUCGAAUCCUAGCGGCGGACGGGUGAGUAACGCGUGAGCAACCUGCCUCAAACAGGGGGAUAACGCAUCGAAAGAUGUGCUAAUACCGCGUAAGACCACGGUACCGCAUGGUACAGAGGUCAAAGGAGCAAUCCGGUUUGAGAUGGGCUCGCGUCCGAUUAGCUAGUUGGUGAGAUAACAGCCCACCAAGGCGACGAUCGGUAGCCGACCUGAGAGGGUGAUCGGCCACAUUGGAACUGAGAAACGGUCCAGACUCCUACGGGAGGCAGCAGUGGGGAAUAUUGGGCAAUGGGCGAAAGCCUGACCCAGCAACGCCGCGUGAGGGAAGAAGGGUUUCGGCUCGUAAACCUCUGUCCUAUGGGACGAAGAAGUGACGGUACCAUAGGAGGAAGCCCUGGCCAACUACGUG